Long non-coding RNA from Gasterosteus aculeatus aculeatus (three-spined stickleback), 1306 nucleotides. Lineage: Eukaryota; Metazoa; Chordata; Actinopteri; Perciformes; Gasterosteidae. The record is from Ensembl.
CUUGAUGGGGGAUGGGCGGAUGCGCGUGCACAAUAUUCACAUAAUUAGUCACAUGUGUUAUCAGAAACAAACAAAUGUCUGUGACCUUUUAAUGCAAAGGGGAUGUUGGGCCUCCACCCUGCUAAUGAACCUCACCACGUGUUUCUUCACUGAGGACAAAGGAAGGACACAAACAUAUAGGGGUCCCCCGUGGCCUGAUGCCAGGGGCUGAUAACAGGACCCCUGCAGCUCUCCAGACCCCCUUGGCCAUAAAAAGAGGACGUACCAAAGAACACCGAGCGCUCCCAUUGGCCGAGGACAGUGACAUUUAUUCAUGGACCUCAAGUUCAUAAGAAGAGAUUGCGCCAAAGGAUCGAUCUCUUUCGCCUGACUUCCCGUUAGUGACAGAUCGAGACAACACAACGUUGUUUGGUUUCUUUUCUUUCCCUCCAAUUCCCAAGUUUCAGUCUUAAUCUCGCUGGACGAACUCAAGACUCGCGCUCCACUACGUCCCGCUUCCUUUUCCCUUUUGAUUUCAUUCCUGUUGACUCCAGAGGACCGGAGAGACAGCUGCUCUCUGACCCCCCGCCGCCUCUGUUCCCAACGAGAAGUUCAGACCCCACGGCCGAAAUCGCCUUCAUCCACUGAGUUUCCCUACGCGGAGCUCAACUGUCCUCAGUCAGCUGGAAGCUGAUGACCAACGCCCAUCAAACAGUAACACUGGUUUUCUGGGCAGACUAAUUUAGCGUGUUGAUAUGAACUUGAUGUUUAUUUGAUUUGUUCAGUCAUAACGUGGUACGAUAGAGUCCGGAUCAACGAAUCCGCUACCUUUGAUUUAUGUUUGAAUGUGUACCUGCAAAUGUCGUAAUGUCCCCUGUUGAUCUGAUGCUGUGAUACGUUUGCUGUAAGAGAGUGAAAGCGCCGACUGUGUUACGCUGUUGAAUGAUGUCUCAUGGUCAGAAUAGUUCCUUAUUUUAUUUUAUUUUCCCGGGUCUCCGCCGUGAGAUCCGUUUGCCUGUGGUUUCAUUUCGUAUCGCCAGCCACAUCAUUUGUUUCCGUAACUGCACAACUGUUGUUGCGCGCACCGCCGUUCCCCCCACCCCCACCGCCGUUCCUUCCCUGCACCCCCCUCUGUGCUCACACACACACACACACACACACACACACACACACACACACACACACACACACACACACACUGAUUGCUUGUUUAGUGAGUAGGUUUAAAAUAAGUGUUAUGGGGAUUGUUGGUUGCAGUUAUAGGUGAUCUUGAUCGGUGUUCCUGUGAGUUAAUAAACCCUGUUAUACUUUAAAGAACCGUUUUCCU